UGAGGAAUAUUGGUCAAUGGGCGCGAGCCUGAACCAGCCAAGUAGCGUGAAGGAUGAAGGUCCUACGGAUUGUAAACUUCUUUUAUACGGGAAUAAAGUGGUCCACGUGUGGACUUUUGCAUGUACCGUAUGAAUAAGCAUCGGCUAACUCCGUGCCAGCAGCCGCGGUAAUACGGAGGAUGCGAGCGUUAUCCGGAUUUAUUGGGUUUAAAGGGAGCGCAGACGGGGGAUUAAGUCAGUUGUGAAAGUUUGCGGCUCAACCGUAAAAUUGCAGUUGAUACUGGUUCCCUUGAGUGCAGUUGAGGCAGGCGGAAUUCGUGGUGUAGCGGUGAAAUGCAUAGAUAUCACGAAGAACCCCGAUUGCGAAGGCAGCCUGCUAAGCUGUAACUGACGUUGAGGCUCGAAAGUGUGGGUAUCAAACAGGAUUAGAUACCCUGGUAGUCCACACGGUAAGCGAUGGAUACUCGCUGUUGGCGAUAUACUGUCAGCGGCCAAGCGAAAGCAUUAAGUAUCCCACCUGGGGAGUACGCCGGCAACGGUGAAACUCAAAGGAAUUGACGGGGGCCCGCACAAGCGGAGGAACAUGUGGUUUAAUUCGAUGAUACGCGAGGAACCUUACCCGGGCUUAAAUUGCAGACGAAUUACUUGGAAACAGGUAAGCCGCAAGGCGUCUGUGAAGGUGCUGCAUGGUUGUCGUCAGCUCGUGCCGUGAGGUGUCGGCUUAAGUGCCAUAACGAGCGCAACCCUCGUGGCCAGUUACUAGCAGGUAACGCUGAGGACUCUGGCCAGACUGCCAUCGCAAGAUGCGAGGAAGGUGGGGAUGACGUCAAAUCAGCACGGCCCUUACGUCCGGGGCUACACACGUGUUACAAUGGGAGGUACAGAAGGCAGCUACCCGGCGACGGGAUGCCAAUCUCCAAAGCCUCUCUCAGUUCGGACUGGAGUCUGCAACCCGACUCCACGAAGCUGGAUUCGCUAGUAAUCGCGCAUCAGCCACGGCGCGGUGAAUACGUUCCC
Molecule: ribosomal RNA, 1017 nt
Filed under: uncultured bacterium
Lineage: Bacteria
Description: bacterial SSU rRNA
Rfam family: Bacterial small subunit ribosomal RNA
Source: RNAcentral